This 253-nucleotide ribosomal RNA is filed under the name uncultured bacterium. Its description in RNAcentral is "partial 16S ribosomal RNA". It matches the Rfam family "Bacterial small subunit ribosomal RNA", at positions 524 to 776 of the family's 1533-position model. The record is from RNAcentral.
GACAGAGGGGGCAAGCGUUGCUCGGAAUUACUGGGCGUAAAGGGCGCGUAGGCGGGAUGGCAAGUCGGUCGUGAAAUCCCUCGGCUCAACCGAGGAACGUCGAUCGAUACUGCUGUUCUUGAGGAUUGCAGAGGAGACUGGAAUUCCCGGUGUAGCGGUGAAAUGCGUAGAUAUCUGGAGGAACACCGGUGGCGAAGGCGGCAUCCUGGUCCAGCACCGACGUUCAGGCACGAAAGCGUGGGGAGCAAACAGG